Molecule: long non-coding RNA, 1155 nt
Organism: Clupea harengus (Atlantic herring)
Lineage: Eukaryota; Metazoa; Chordata; Actinopteri; Clupeiformes; Clupeidae
Source: Ensembl
CCACCUUUGGCAUGUCAUAAAUAUAUAGUUUUUUGUAAUUCAUGUCAGCAUCUUGUUGUUGGAUACGUUGCCAUCAUAUACAAAACCAUUUUGGAACUCACAUGAUAAAUAGCAAUUGUGUUGUUUAUGGUUAUUUCAAAUGUCUCAAUGUGUUGCCAUGUCUGUUUUACAUUACAGGAGCCUAUCCUGCGACAAAUGCUAAAAAGAUUGCAGAAUGUGAAAUCCACCCUGACGUUGAAACUAUCAACACCCAUGCACAGUCAAGCUUCUGUUGUCAAGAAAAGACGACUUCAGUUCCAGCAAACCGACAAAGAGGCUGAGUCUGCUACUGGUUCAAUUGAAACAACUCAGAUGACUGAUCCCCCAGAGAGCACUUGUACAGACCUGGACAAUAAUAACACAGUGCACGAUCCUCAGUCAAGAAAAAUGCAGGCCAGACAUUAUAAGGCUCUUCAGGAGCUCUUCAAGAAAACAAAACCAAACAAAGAGGACAUCGCUCAUCUAUUGGACCUGGAAUUUGAGUCUAGGAGGUCUUUCAUAGAGUGUUGUUCAGACAAAGCGGAGCGGGCCAAGGCAGUCUUGGAGGCUUAUCCUUGCUUUUCAGAGUGUCAACAUAUUAUGGAUGAAUUGGGGCGAAUCAUUGAGGCUGACAACAAGAGGUACUCAGACCAACUGAAAGCUCGAUGGGGAAAGUUUUACCAAAAUGCACUGUUCUUUGGAGCGUGGAAGAAGGCAUUGAAACCACCUAUGGGUCUGGAUGAAUGUAAGCACAAAACAAAUUCAAAUAUGUACAGUACAUCUCAUCUUUGAGGUUGGGCAUGAUCUUUCUAGGUGUAUGAGUUGUAGUUUUCUUUCAAUUGUUUUGACUGAACAGGACCUUUUUAGAGCAUGCCCUUUUCCCUGAAUCUCAGCAAACUAGUGGUUGUCACUGGAGGGUUCUAACACCACUACAUUUGUCAUUUGUACAAGUGACCCAUUACAUUGACUUGCAGCUUACUUAGUGCUCUUAUGUAUUCAUAGUUUCAGGGACAUCAUAAAUAUUGCAGAUUAACUCUUACCACUUUGUUUGCAGCUGCACAGGCCAUUGCCUUUAUGGAGGCACUCCCACAAAUGUUCCCUUCCCCAACCGCCCCCCCGAGAAAACUAAAGUCAGCA